GGAGGGUUCAGGAUGGGGAACACAUGUAUACCUGUGGCAGAUUCAUUUUGACAUAUGGCAAAACCAAUACAAUAUUGUAAAGUUAAAUAAAAUAAAAUUAAAAUUAAAAAAAAAAAUAAAAAAGAAACCCCUCAAGACUGAGAGUUGCACCAGGCUCCUGUCCUACCACAUGCAUUCUGAGAUAGAAUUGGCAGAAGGGGAGUCAACUCUGGCCAUAAACAAUUGACAUGAGUCUUGAAGAAAGGCAGAUUUCCAAGCUAAUGCAUAACUUUAUUAACGUAGCUUAAGAACAUUUUCCUGAGUAAGAUGUAUUGUUUGCCGAGCCAUUAGCAACUCAAGGUUUGAGAAAUAGUUUCAGGUGAACCCAACUGUUUUCAUGGCAACACAGGAUCAAAGGAGCCUCCUUUAAUCCUGUGUAGAGAAGAGAAAAAAACAAACAAACAAAAAAAACAAGAGUCUGGCACUUGCAGCUUAUUUCCUCCUCCUGCUUGGGGGACCCUGGCCUCCCUAAUCAUUAGCUCUCUCAAUACAAAUGAAUUUAUUUAUGAAACAAACAGCCACACAGACAUAGAAGACAAACUUCUGGUUACCAAAGGGAAAGGGCCAGGAAAGGAUAAGUUAGGAGAUUUGGAUUAGCUAAUACAAACUGUUACUGUUGUUUAUUCAUUCAGGGAUGUCUGACUCUUUGCAAACCCAUGGACUGUAGCCUGCCAGUCUGCUCAGUCCAUAGUAUUUCUCAGGCAAGAAUACUGGAGUGGGUUGUCAUUUCCUUUUCCAGGAGAUCUUCCCGACCCAGAGAUACAAACUACUAUGUAUGAAAUAAACAUAUAAAAAGGUCCUACUAGAUAGCAUGGGAAACUAUAUUCAAUACAUGGUAAUAUAAUGGAAAAGAAUAGAAAAAAGAAUGUAUAUAGUUAUAUAAUUUAUAUUUAACUGCCUCACUUUGCUAUACCUUAGAAACUAACACAGCAUUGUAAAUCAAUUAUACUUCAAUAAAGUAUGAAGGAAAUGAGGUCCCGGUUUGCCAUUUUUAUUUGGAG
Molecule: long non-coding RNA, 1040 nt
Organism: Bos taurus (domestic cattle)
Lineage: Eukaryota; Metazoa; Chordata; Mammalia; Artiodactyla; Bovidae
Source: Ensembl